Molecule: ribosomal RNA, 254 nt
Filed under: uncultured bacterium
Lineage: Bacteria
Description: partial 16S ribosomal RNA
Rfam family: Bacterial small subunit ribosomal RNA
Source: RNAcentral
UACGUAGGGUGCGAGCGUUUAAUCGGAAUUACUGGGCGUAAAGCGUGCGCAGGCGGUUUUGUAAGCCAGAUGUGAAAUCCCCGGGCUCAACCUGGGAAUGGCAAUGGAUACUGGCAAGCUAGAGUGCGGUAGAGGGUAGUGGAAUUCCCGGUGUAGCGGUGAAAUGCGUAGAGAUCGGGAGGAACACCAGUGGCGAAGGCGGCUACCUGGACCAGCACUGACACUGAGGCACGAAAGCGUGGGGAGCAAACAGG